Molecule: long non-coding RNA, 215 nt
Filed under: Eucalyptus grandis
Lineage: Eukaryota; Viridiplantae; Streptophyta; Magnoliopsida; Myrtales; Myrtaceae
Description: long non-coding RNA (EGRA_LNC001514)
Source: RNAcentral
UUUGGUGCUAGCGUAGACUCUGUAGAGUAAAAUCUACCCAAAAUCUCACCUCUCUCUCUCUCUCUAUCUCUCUCUCUCUCUCUCUCAGAGGUGACCUGGCAAGAAUGGAUUUGAAACCCACUGCAACUGCUAUUUGUUGUUCCAUGUCCCUCCAACAGUGACAGACCCCUUCCCCUUCCCUUUCCCCUGCUUUCCCAGUUCAAAAACCCGCACAC